UACGUAGGGUGCAAGCGUUGUCCGGAAUUAUUGGGCGUAAAGAGCUCGUAGGCGGUUUGUCGCGUCUGCUGUGAAAACCCGAGGCUCAACCUCGGGCCUGCAGUGGGGUACGGGCAGACUAGAGUGCGGUAGGGGAGAUUGGAAUUCCUGGUGUAGCGGUGGAAUGCGCAGAUAUCAGGAGGAACACCAAUGGCGAAGGCAGAUCUCUGGGCCGUAACUGACGCUGAGGAGCGAAAGCAUGGGGAGCGAACAGG
RNAcentral lists this ribosomal RNA (254 nucleotides) under uncultured bacterium. RNAcentral describes it as "partial 16S ribosomal RNA". It matches the Rfam family "Bacterial small subunit ribosomal RNA", at positions 524 to 776 of the family's 1533-position model. The record is from RNAcentral.